UCAACAUUCACGUAAAACUCAAGCAUCUAAUUUCACGUGAAUUGCAAAAUCUCUCAAACCCGUCCUCCUUCCCUUUUCACGACUGCUCCUCCAUUGCUGCUACUGCUCACGCUGCCGGACCACCAACCUGUACGGCCACCAGUCCUCCUCCGCCGUCGGUACUCCUUGUUCUCCUCCUUCUCUUGUUCUUUCUUUCUCUUGCUUCGUGUUCUUGCUCUCCUCCUUGUGUUUUCCUGUCUUUCGCACAGCACCACCACCACGCUACCACCAGCGUUCGUGGCCUUGUUUCAGCCAUCUCGUUGUCGCCUGACCGUCGUCCCUUUGCACGGUAGUCUCUCUUGUCCCUCCUUUAUUCUCUCCUUCGUUUUUCUCUUUCUUUUAUUUUCGUUCCCCCUUAAUCGUGCUUGUGUCGCACAACCACCACCACCACUCGCUGCCGCCGAGCAGUUCUGCCGCCUCCAGCUGCGCCUCACACACUACUAGAAAUUACACUUACAACGACAAAUGAAUAACGACCAACCAAAUAAAAUUAUCGUUAAAACGUAAAUUUGUUCAAAGUUGAGCGCGGGUCAUGUAAUAAUUUUAAAUAAAAAACUGAACCAUAUUUUCUCAAAAACAAAUUCGUCUUUAAUGUUAAAACUUACCUUCAUAUUUCAGCCGAUUCCGAAACCUAGGUCAGACCUUAAAACUCUUUCAAUUUUCUCUCCUCUCAAAUUCCAGUAUUUGGCGACUCAGCUACGAUGGCGACAGGCAACAAUGAUAUCGACACCGACACUACCACGACGGCGAUAGGACCAGCUAACCCUUUUGCUACAAUGACCGACAUAAGCAACUCAAAUUUUUACCCUAUCGUCCUUAUUUAUAGAGUAUUUAUUUGAAUCACGUUGUUUUUACAUUGCAAUUUCAAAAGUUCUCAACUAUAUUUCAAUUAAUUUCUCUAUUUAUGUAAAUCUGAUGGAUAAUCGGUUAAUUACAAAUCAAUUACUCUUUCCAAUACUUUGAUUAUCUGUGAAAGAAAUUGUGAUCAUUUUUGUUAACGUGAAUGAAGUCUGAGUAUUAAUCCAUGUGUAAUUUAUUUUGUUUUGAUUUCGUAGUUAGUGUUCAUGUGUGUAGAUUGUUAUAGACUAUUCGCACUAGUUCAGCUGUUGGGUGAUCAAUAUGCUUAGUACCUUUGAGUUUAGUCAUAACACAAAGCCUUAAUCCUAAUAGGUUCAUGUUUUCAGGUUGGUGACUGAGUGUGUGCGGUAUGUGUAUAAGACUAGGAGAGGCAUGCGUCUUGUGUACAAUUGGCAGAGUCUUGCAAGCUACUCUGACAGCAAGAAGCUUAGUUUGUGUGUGUAUGUGUGAGGCUUGCAGGGGCAGCAGAAACAAGCAUGUCGUCUUGUGUACAUUAUGGUUUGAUCUUCUAAUAUAGCUGUCUAAGAUGUCGUAUUUUCUCUGGGAUUUUUUUGGGGGUAGUUGGGGGUGUUGUUUGACAACCAUGAUGUUAAUUUUUGAAUGUUCAAUCUCGUUUUUGAUAUUUUUGUUUAACUUUAUUUGGAGCUUUUAUGUGUUUGAUUUCACUGUACGACGUGCUCAUAGACCUUGAUUGUUGCUCGUCAGUUGAAUUUGGUGUUUAUUGGAUACUCCCUCCGUAUUUAUUUAAGAGAUACACUUGGCCGGGCACGGGUAUUAAGAAGGAGAAUUGAAUGAAAUAAAAUAAUAAAGCAAGUGGGGUUGGGUAGAUAUUUUAAUAAGUAAACAAGUGGGGACCAUGUCAUUUUGGUGGGGUGGGAGGUGUGACGGGUUUAUGAAAUUAUUUGUUUAAUAGGAUGGUGGGUAAUGGGGUAAAUUAGAUGUAUUAUUUAAUUAGAUGGUGGGGUUGAUAAGUUACUAAAAAUGGCAAGUGUAUCUCUUAAAGAAAUACGGCCGGAAAAGGCAAGUGUAUCCCUUAAAUAAAUACGGAGGGAGUACCUAGUUUCUAAUUUGGCAUGUGGAUUGAACCUUAUGAAUGCUUCUUCAGUAUACGAAUCGGGUAAAUGGUGGCUGAUUGAGAUAAUGUAGUUCUUUAGUGCGUCUAUAACUGUAAUGCAAUAUGAAUUCUAGUGCAUAAGGAGCUGAUUGACAGAUAGUCAUCAUGUUUACUAUUUGUGUCCCUUGUUAAUAGUGUCUCUGGAGCCUGAAGGUUUUGAAAGGAUGCACAGAUAACUUGACUGAGGCUCUCAUGUUCCUGUCACAUUUUGUUGGUGAUGUUCACCAGGUUAGUGCCUUUUCUUGAGACAGUGUGACUCUCAGUGACUCAGUGAGGAUGCUGAUGAAAAAAGCUAUCAUGAUUCAUUUACUUAGUUGCAUAUAUUUCAUAUAGUAUUCCUUUCUGUUGGAGUCAAGUCAGCUGUGGGACUAUAGUUUGUGCUUCAGAUAACCAAACUAAAGUUCAGUAUCCUUUUAGCAUAUAAGCAUGUGAAUGUAAAAUGACUUGUACUGAAAUAUUUCGAACUAUGCGAUGCAUAUUGUCAAGCUAUGUAAAAUGUAUGUAUGUCUAUUUUUUUGACUGAAAGUGGGCAGUGAUACUGAAGCCAGUAUUAGGGGUUCACAGCUUUUCCUGAUUCUAAGUUCUUACACUAUAUUAACAAAUUCUUCUAUUUGCUCUUGCAAGCUGUCUAAGAUGGGAAGAAAGGAGUCCGUCGUAUAUUCGUAUGGAUAGCAGUAUUCAUAAGUGGUCAUAUAGCUUUACUUUACAUAUCAUGGAGUCACUGUAAAAUUAAUAACAACACCAUAGUACGUUAUUGAAAUUUGAAAGCAUCUCUAUACACAGUUAAAACGCAAUUUGGGAAGACGAGAGGCUUCAAAGAUGUGAGACUAAGCUCUUACUUCUCAGUUCUCACACGAUUUUGCAUCUUCCAUAAGAGUUUUACCUUCUGCAUUGUUUGUAAACUGUUAGAGCUUUUUGGGAAUAACUGCAGGAGGGAAGUAGGAAAGGGAGAAGGAGAAGAAAGGGUGAGAUCAAAAAGGAAAAAAAUAGUACGAAAUAAAGCUUUUUGAAUGGAUCAUAGAUGAAAGCUUCGAGGAAAUUCAAUUCCUCCACUUAAUAUUUCCCAUUACAUUCCUAAUUAUCUUCGAAAUUGUGUCUUCCCUUCUCUUUCAUUUUGCUGACUACUCUUCAGGUGCCUAUAGGCUAUAAUUAAUGAUCUAAGUAAGGGAACUGAACAGAAUUCACCAGAGUUUAGGGUAGCACUGUGACAGUGAACACCUCAAAACUUUAAGCUAUCUAUUUCUUAUUAUAGUUCAAAGAAAAGAAUUUACAUAACCAUUUGUUGCAGAAUGAGACAUUCACCUGAUUUUAUAUAGGUAACAGUUUCCUUCUUAUUGGUGUGUCUAAGUAGGACCGUCUUUUAUGUUUUCAUCUAUAUACCAUACUUCAUGUUGCCGAGUUUGUCUAGUCAAUUUCAUGUUGCGAAAGUUCUGUUUGAGUAAGGGAAUCUCCUCCCCCUUGUUAUGAAAAGGGUGUUUUUUGUUCCGUCAAUUUCGGAGAAAAGCUAUCAUGAUAUGCUAAACUAUGGUUUGGAUUUUCUUUGUCUGAUGAGCUAAUCUAUGAAUUGGUGUGGGAUAUGCCAUAGAUGCAUAAAUGCAUAUGCUUUAAAAACAGGGAAACCCGUAAAGGAUCAGAUCACCAGAAAAACAAGUAAUAAGUAUUAUGUAAGCAGGAGUAUCAAGUUAAUUUAGUUUUCUUUAUUUAACCCAAUGACAAGUUGAUACCAGGAGAAGAAUUCAUAUUUUUUCCCCCUAGGAAAUGAAUUAUUCUUUACAUAGCUGGUUCUCAUAUCUGCUAUAGCUCUGAUUUCUCAUAUCUGCUUCUAAGGCUCAAGCAGCUUUCAGGAGGCAACUUUCCAUUGGUAUUUUCCCUCUUUGUUUCUGAAUUACGAUUAACAAGUUGUCAUUUUUACAUUCUUGGAAGGGCCACAAAAUCUCUUGUAAACUUUAUAGAUAGAAUACUCUGCAUAAUUUCUUGUUUUACUCUACAAAUUUACUUUUCUUGUUAUUAGUGUGAUUUUUUGUGCAGGUAGCACAUGAGAUUUUUAAAUCCAAUCUCCAGAUCGAGUUAUAGGUUUUAAUGCAGGAAUAAAGUUUAAAUAUACAAGGGACAACAACGUAGUAGAAAAAGAACUCCACCAGAACAAAUUUUUUGCAUGUCACGUGGAGGAAGUGAAGAGAACAACGAAAUGAAGACAAUAUUACUUUGGUUGAGUUAAUGAAAAUAUUCGAAGAUAUGUCGGUGUCACAACUUAAUGUUGCAAUUCCUACUUCACAAGAUGAUUCUGAAAUGUCCAAGUACUUAAAGAUGGGAAGUUAUCACACUUCAUACCGAUUUAGAGUCUUUGAUUUUUUUUUUUUGAAGUUUAAUAACAGGGAAUUGUUUAGAUAUUUCCUCUUUGAUCUUUAAUGUGGAUGUUUGGUUGUUUUGUUGAGUUGUAUCAUAAUUGUUAUUGAUUUUGUUUAAUGAAAAUUAAGUUUAUUAUGUAUUUUUGAAAUAUUGAAUAAAAUAGCAGGUUUAGCCGGUUAAAACGGCACAA
Spinacia oleracea (spinach) is the source of this 4550-nucleotide long non-coding RNA. RefSeq lists it as uncharacterized. The record is from RefSeq and is a predicted model, not a curated record. NCBI's taxonomy places the organism in Eukaryota, Viridiplantae, Streptophyta, Magnoliopsida, Caryophyllales, Amaranthaceae. The transcript is spliced from 2 exons.